This 253-nucleotide ribosomal RNA is filed under the name uncultured bacterium. Its description in RNAcentral is "partial 16S ribosomal RNA". It matches the Rfam family "Bacterial small subunit ribosomal RNA", at positions 524 to 776 of the family's 1533-position model. The record is from RNAcentral.
UACGUAGGGUGCAAGCGUUAAUCGGAAUUACUGGGCGUAAAGGGCUCGUAGGCGGCCAACUAAGUCAGACGUGAAAUCCCUCGGCUUAACCGGGGAACUGCGUCUGAUACUGGAUGGCUAGAGGUUGGGAGAGGGAUGCGGAAUUCCAGGUGUAGCGGUGAAAUGCGUAGAUAUCUGGAGGAACACCGGUGGCGAAGGCGGCAUCCUGGACCAAUUCUGACGCUGAGGAGCGAAAGCCAGGGGAGCAAACGGG